GAUGAACGCUAGCUACAGGCUUAACACAUGCAAGUCGAGGGGUAACGAGAGGGAAGCUUGCUUUCCUUGUCGACGACCGGCGCACGGGUGAGUAACGCGUAUCCAACCUGCCCCCAACUAGGGAAUAACCUUGCGAAAGUAAGACUAAUACCCUAUGAUUUCCUCAGAUGUCAUCUGACGAGGAAUAAAGAUUUAUCGGUUGUGGAUGGGGAUGCGUCUGAUUAGCUUUUUGGCGGGGUAACGGCCCACCAAGGCAACGAUCAGUAGGGGUUCUGAGAGGAAGGUCCCCCACAUUGGAACUGAGACACGGUCCAAACUCCUACGGGAGGCAGCAGUGAGGAAUAUUGGUCAAUGGGCGGAAGCCUGAACCAGCCAAGUAGCGUGCAGGAUGACGGCCCUAUGGGUUGUAAACUGCUUUUAUACAGGAAUAAAGUUAGCCACGUGUGGUUAUUUGUAGGUACUGUAUGAAUAAGGACCGGCUAAUUCCGUGCCAGCAGCCGCCGUAA
Molecule: ribosomal RNA, 506 nt
Filed under: uncultured bacterium
Lineage: Bacteria
Description: partial 16S ribosomal RNA
Rfam family: Bacterial small subunit ribosomal RNA
Source: RNAcentral